RNAcentral lists this ribosomal RNA (569 nucleotides) under uncultured bacterium. RNAcentral describes it as "bacterial SSU rRNA". It matches the Rfam family "Bacterial small subunit ribosomal RNA", at positions 317 to 878 of the family's 1533-position model. The record is from RNAcentral.
GCCCGUCCCGCCGCCCCCGCCCGCCUACGGGAGGCAGCAGUGGGGAAUUUUGGACAAUGGGGGCAACCCUGAUCCAGCAAUGCCGCGUGAGUGAAGAAGGCCUUCGGGUUGUAAAGCUCUUUUGUCAGGGAAGAAACGGCUGUGGCUAAUAUCCACGGCUAAUGACGGCACCUGAAGAAUAAGCACCGGCUAACUACGUGCCAGCAGCCGCGGUAAUACGUAGGGUGCAAGCGUUAAUCGGAAUUACUGGGCGAAAAGCGUGCGCAGGCGGUUUUGUAAGUCUGACGUGAAAUCCCCGGGCUUAACCUGGGAAUUGCGUUGGAGACUGCAAGGCGAGUAUGUCAGAGGGGGGUAGACUUCCACGUGUAGCAGUGAAAUGCGUAGAGAUGGGGAGGAACACCGAUGGCGAAGGCAGCCCUCUGGGUCAAGAUUGACGCUCAUGCGCGAAAGCGUGGGGAGCACACAGGAAUAGAUACACUGGUGGUCCACGCCCUACACGAUGUGUACUAGUUGUCGGGUAUUAAUUGACUUGGUCAACGCAGCUAACGCGUGAAGUAGACCGCCUGGGG